Molecule: long non-coding RNA, 412 nt
Filed under: Phoenix dactylifera (date palm)
Lineage: Eukaryota; Viridiplantae; Streptophyta; Magnoliopsida; Arecales; Arecaceae
Description: long non-coding RNA (PDAC_LNC013220)
Source: RNAcentral
UUUUUUAUUAAGUUAGAGGCUCUUAAGAUCAACUGUUUGAAUUGCAAUUUGGUUCAUGAUUUAUGCAUAAGAUAUAUUAACCAAAUAACAAGCCUCAAGAUGUAUCAUAAAGAUUUUUAGAUUUAAAUUUCAGAUGAUACAUAUUGGAGAGUAUUAGGAUCACUUUUCAUUUAGUAUUCUUUCUCUCUCCUUUAGUUAUAGAUUUAUGCGAUUAAGUUCCAUAAGAUCUCUCCUUCUGAAAUUUUCUUUCUCUCCCUCAAUUGAUCAUUCCAUUUAAGAGUUUAGAAUUUGAAGAUAAUGUUCAAUAAAAUUGUCAAUCUCAAAAAAAUAUAUUUUCUAUAAGUUUCAGCUUAUUUUCAUAAGACUCAAGGUUUGAGAUAAGACAACUUUUAUAGAACUCAUCUCAAGGUAU